Molecule: long non-coding RNA, 2116 nt
Organism: Oryzias latipes (Japanese medaka)
Lineage: Eukaryota; Metazoa; Chordata; Actinopteri; Beloniformes; Adrianichthyidae
Source: RefSeq, a predicted model, not a curated record
UGAGGAGAAAAAAGGUGAUAAAGUGAAAACGUUUGGCUUUUGAUCAAACAUUUAAAAACUGACUUCAACUGCUAAAAGACAAUGCAGAGUUUACCAGCAGGUCUUCAUAUUUCACGUCUAAAUAUGUUUUUCUGCUAAGUAUGAAGGAAUUACAGAAAAAAAGGACAAAUGUUCUUUUUCUAAAAAGUCUCAUAUAUUCCUGAAUCAAUAUUACAUAAGGUUGAGUCAACAGAAAAAAAAUAAGAACUAUGUUUAGUAUACUUUUCUGCUUCCACGCUGGUCUGUUUGUGAGUGGGAAGGAGAAAAAACAGUGUGAAGCCUGUUCGACCGGAUAUUUUUGCAUGAGCGGAGCGGCAAAGCCAGGGCUGGGGAUAUUUGGGGACAGGCUCAGGUUAUGUUUGUAUAUUUGUGUGGGAGUCGUAUUCUUCUGAAAAGCAAUCGAUGCGUCACAGAUGUAGAAAUGUGUAUGGGCGAGGAGGGGCUGAUAUGCGAAGAACGAGAUUCCAGCGCAUGCUAUAGACAUGUGAGCUCAGAAACACGGGCUGCUUGCAUUCUCCUUCGAGCUUACAUUCUGUUUGUGUCCUCCUUAUUUAGCGAGCUGGAGAGACUUCAUGGAUGUGUGUCAUGUUUGCAGAGGGGGCACUUGUAACCAACAAUUUGUUUCUCAGAGUUGCCACUUAGCCGUGGAUCUCAGCUGUUGAUUUGGACGAGCAAUUCACAUGAGAUUUCGCAUCUUUUAACCAUUUGCGCAGAUGGUUCAUAAUUACAGAGCCUGUGAUUGAGUGCUCAUUUUACCUUUUGGAACAUGCUGCUGAGCUGUCUGGGAGAAAAACUGCAAGUCUAACUUUGCUCACUGGAGGAUUUGAACAAGACGCCGAGCGGAGAGAAGAAACAAGUCAAACACAUUUGCAUAAAUGCUGUAAUCUCCUCUCUCCAUGAGCUCUACACGGAUCAAUUUGAGUCGUAAUGAAACAAAAACCAAAACACGAGGAAAACUAUUUCCAGCCAUUCCUCAUACAUGCUCCACAUGAUUAGAGAGAACCUCCCACAUAUCAAGAUCAUUUAACUGCAUUCUGCAUGCAUGAGGAAACUCCAUUUGUAAUCAACAUGUGUAUCUGUCACAAUAUAGAACUAAAUAGGAUUACUGCUAGCAGUGACGCAGAUGCUUCUAGCUUGACGUAAGCAAAAAAAACUAAAACAGUGGAGGUAAAUAAGAAUCAGUGGAAGUGCACCAGAGGAGUAAUAGGAGAGAAGACUACUGAAGACGGGACACGAGGAGAAAAUAAACCUGGGAGAACAGCAGAGGGAAAAAAAAGCCCACGCACAGAGCAGAGUGGGUGAACCUAGCUGGAGGUAGGAACGAAGAACAAAGACAAGAGGUGAGGAGGCAGGAGGAGAGGAAAAGAGAGGAGAGAGGUCUGUCAGCUGGCAGCGGAAGCCCUGGUCCUGAAGAACCGUUUGAAUGUGGUUCCAGUUGUGCUCGGCAACACCACCUCCAAUGGCCAGCUGCUUUCAGAUAAAGUGGCAUCAAAAAAGAACCACACUCUGCUUCUCACCAUUGGAUUCAGGAGCCAAGGGCAAGUUAGCAGCACUGGGCUCUAGUCUGCUUACUGUCAGCUGUCCAAUUGACCUGGCUUCUUGUUGACAUCAGCUGUGAACAGCCAAUCAGCUGCCUUCUUGGCAUCUGGUCCGGUGAGAUAGAACUUCCCAAAGUAGGACAUGUCAAAGACAGCCACGCCGUGUCUGCACGAGAGGCACUCGCUCUUGAUCUGCAUGGAAAGACACAUCGCACAUAUUCAAUAGGAGUCCUACAUACUAAAUCAGAGGUGGGCACUGAGGGCCGCAUUCCUGCAUGUUUUCCAGCAUACCCUGCUCUGGCAUGUUCUAAUUGGCUGGACACACCUGAACCAGGUAAUCAGCCAUGAGUAGGGCAAGAUUAUUGGCUGGACACACCUGAACCAGGUAAUCAAUCAUGAGUAGGGCAAGACUAUCUGGAAAUCAUGCAGACACACCGGCCCUCGAGGCCUGGAAUUGCCCACCCCUGUACUAAAUGGUUUGUAGCUGAUCCAUCAUUAUCCUGUGCACCAAAGAAAAAAAUAAAACAUAAAAAGUUGAA